This 553-nucleotide long non-coding RNA is filed under the name Helianthus annuus (common sunflower). Its description in RNAcentral is "sRNA HanXRQr2_Chr09g0380061". The record is from RNAcentral. Lineage: Eukaryota; Viridiplantae; Streptophyta; Magnoliopsida; Asterales; Asteraceae.
UGUAGUCCAUUGAAUGGUUUGAGCGAAUUGAAGACUCGCUUCGUUUCCACUCCCAUCCCCUCUUUACUCAGGCCUGGACCAUACAAAUCCCCAUUACAACCUGGAACCCUAGCUAAGUUCAUUUCACGCUCUCUCCAAUCUCAUUUUUUCUCUCGAUCUGGAACCCUAGCCUCCUCUAUCCCUCUCCAUUUGGAUGACGAAUAACUGGAGAUGUAGAACACCGAUUUGAAGAAACCCUAACCGAUUUGUAGACACACAAAUCGAGGAUGACCCUAGCUGAUGAUGUGAACUUGGAAUAAGGAAGGGGUACCGUGUGGAAUGUUGAUAUUAUAGGAGCGAAGGGUGAGGGUUGGAUAAAUUAGGGCAAGCCUAAUGGUUCAGGGAAGUCGUUCAUUGAGGGCUCCUUAGGUGGAAUUUUAAAAACAAUGAUACUAAUAUUGAUCCAUUUAUAAGGUAACACUCGAGCUGGUCAUUGCUUACAAGGAUCAAGUAGAAAGUGUUAUUUUUUGUCUUUAGAUUAAUAAUUUAUUUACAUGAGUGGGUUUUCAUGCUU